Molecule: non-coding RNA, 386 nt
Organism: Oryctolagus cuniculus (rabbit)
Lineage: Eukaryota; Metazoa; Chordata; Mammalia; Lagomorpha; Leporidae
Source: RefSeq, a predicted model, not a curated record
UGUUACGACUGGUGCCCACAUGCCAGCCUUGUGAUAGUCAGUACUUUUGUGGUGCCUAUGACAUGACUGCAACUUUUACAACUUGCACACAACUUAGGGAGCAAGCCUGGUCCUCUAGGUAUCAUUCCAAAGAAGAAAGUACCACAGUCCAGAGUUUUCUCACUGCUUCUGGUCCAAGUGUAUCUUCGUUUCACUCAACAGUCACAUGAGAACAAGUAUCCUGGAUGCCCUUCAUUCAUCCCAACCUCCACCAGUAAAUAGGAGCCUACAGAAGGUAUACACAAUGGUUUUUUUCCACACCAGUCUCCCUGGCUUUCCAUCUCUUCAAGGGAGCUUUAAAACCUCCAGGCCGAUUAUAUCAAUGUUUCAUCAGACUUCCAUUGUCC